GAGGGCAUAGCUCAGUGGUAGAGUGCGUGUUUAGCAUGCAUGAGGGCUUGGGCUCAAGCCCCUGCACCCCCA
This 72-nucleotide transfer RNA is filed under the name Camelus bactrianus (Bactrian camel). It matches the Rfam family "tRNA". Rfam says of the family: Transfer RNA (tRNA) molecules are approximately 80 nucleotides in length. Their secondary structure includes four short double-helical elements and three loops (D, anti-codon, and T loops). RNAcentral also lists the same sequence under 2 other names. The record is from Rfam by way of RNAcentral. Lineage: Eukaryota; Metazoa; Chordata; Mammalia; Artiodactyla; Camelidae.